Molecule: long non-coding RNA, 11811 nt
Filed under: Zea mays
Lineage: Eukaryota; Viridiplantae; Streptophyta; Magnoliopsida; Poales; Poaceae
Description: long non-coding RNA (ZMAY_LNC001629)
Source: RNAcentral
UAGAAUUUUAUUUCAGCCAUCGUUGAAGCUCCCUAGUCAUUGAUAUUUUCCACCUUCCCCAAAUUCCAGAUUUUUGUUGCUGAUUCAUAAGGAAUUUAGCGUCCACCGCGGAGGUCCUAUCCAUUUAUCUUCUCACGCUCUCAGCUAGGAUAUUUAUCACCGCUUAGCUCUAUUCCAAAAUUUUAUCCAGCCGUUGGCUUCUUAAAGAAAUUCGACGACCACUCCUUAGAAGCCUCCGACGUACGACUCUGCCUGCUCCUCUUCGCUGUGUGGCACUGCUCCCCUCGCGAGCUCCCUCAGCGCGCUUCCAUGUCCACGCUCCGUCGACCUAGCGCUCGGUCUCGCUACACCAUCGGUGACCGAGCUCAUCUACUUCAACGCCAACCAUGCCUCUUGUUGGAGCGAAGGCAGAAACGCCACCCUUCGCUCGAAGUCUCCGCUGCUUAGCCGCUGCUCUGACAGACAAAGCAGAUAGGGACACCCUUCGCUUGAUCGGCACCAGACGAAGACCGGCGACGAAGGCAUCCCACAGUGCGGCCUCGUCCAGCUCAGAGGCCCACGUGCGUUCCGGCCCAUUAUAACGGGCCCUGCGUGGCCGCCGCGUGUUACGGGCCUAAUUUGUAAAGGCAUCCCUUUAAUUACAGUCUGUAACCCUGCUUUAUGGGAAUAUUUUGGGAUAACCUAGGUAGCUGAGGGCACAUGCGUCCUUAACACAAGCGCUGGACGUUCAGGUACCUAUAAAUACCCCCGCACAGUGCUCGUGAGAGGCCUGGUUAAUAGAGCUAUUUGCUAUCUCACGCGUAACCCAACUGUCCAUACUGUCCACCCCUGUUGGCCUUCUUGCGACUGAUAGCAAGUUCCAACAUUUGGCGCCCACCGUUCGUGCUACGACAAAAUCACCCGCGAUGGCACCCAAGAGAGCUAACCCGAAGGCUGACGAGACUGCGAAGGCAGCACUGCUUGCUGCAAGAAAGGGCAAGGCCCUCGUCAUCACCCAAUCCACCCACCAAGAGCCCACUGAAGACAAUGUUCCCCGCACCUGCGAAGACGACACCUUCCGCACCUGCGGGCCCGAAGGACAAUCGCAGCCGCCCCCAGGCUUCGCCCCACUGGAAGGCGCGGAUCUCACCGAGGACGGCGAGGUCCUCGGCGUCUCAACAGAAGAACAGCUACAGCUGCGCGCCCUGCGCCUCAAGAACCGCAAUCUCCAGAGGCAGAAAGAGAUACUGGAGGCCAAGCGCCAGCGUGUGUCCGCACUAGCCAAGGUGCAGCAAAUGAUACGCGACGAGGAGCAGAAGGCCCAAGACCUCGAGCGCGAGAUCGCGCUGAUGCAGCGCGAAGGCCACCUCGGUCUACAGCAAGAGCCGCCCCUCCAGCAGCGCGCGCAACCGGAAGACACGCGCUAAGGCCACCUCGGCCUGCAGCAUGGCCCACCCCUGCAACACCGAGCGCAGCCGGAGAACCCGCGUUUCCCCCAGCAUGACUACACCUUCCAGCACGGCGCGCCAUUCCAAGGGGUCAACUACCUCGACGAGCGAAGUCCCCUGGCGCCACACCUACAAGUGACGCCUUGGCCAGCUAACUUCCGAGCAGGGACCUAUCCCAAGUACAACGGCAGCACCGACCCGGCGCAAUACAUAAUGAGUUAUCAGGUCGCCGUUGCAUCCGCCGGAGGGGACGACGCCACAAUGGCGAAGUCUUUCAUCAUCGCCCUAGAGGGCCCAGCACUCACCUGGUUCACCAGAUUGCCUCCGCUGUCCAUUGAUUCAUGGAGAAGUCUCAGGGACAAGUUCCUGCUCAACUUCCAAGGGUACCGCCCAGACACCGACGCCUUGGCCGAGCUCUCGCUUUGCAAGCAGCUGGAAAAGGAGACUCUGCGGGAGUAUUAACACUCAAGUCACAGCUGCCCUCCGUCGAUGAUCAGAUCGCUAUCCACUACGUCAUCAGUGGCCUUCGUGUCGGCGUCCUCUACAGUCAUUGUAUCAGAGAUCCACCCAAAAACCUCCAGGAGCUAUAUCAGCUCUUUGAAAAAUAUGCCAAAUCCGAAGAGCUCCACCAGCGCAAGGUUGAGUCACAGCGGAAGCCCAAAGAUGCCCCGCAGUCCAGCCGCACAUGGACGAGGACUCCGCAGCCAGACUCCGGUCGAGACGGCCGCAGUCAGCAGCAAGUGCACAACAUCGCCAACUAGCAUCCCGCUGCUGACCCCCUCGCCGCCAGGAAUAUCCCCCCCAAGGCCGCGGAAAUGGAACUCGUGGCAGGGCCGAGGGCGCGCACAGCCGCCGCGCCGAUUCUACUGCCUUUUUCACGGCGAAGACUGCGCCCACCAAACCAAAGACUGCCCCGAAACGAAGGCCACCAGAGACAGAAUGGCACGGGCGCAGCCAGCCGACAACCCCAGAAUUGUCGCGCACAACUACCAGCAACCCCCUGCACCAUAUAUCCACGCCCCCGCUCCGCAUCCACCGCACCACGCUUACCAACACCAUUAGGAAGUACAAAUCGUACCUCCUCCACCCCCACCUCCACACCAGCAACAUCAAAACAUCCCCCAUGCUCCAAAGCAGGAAGACUUCGCCGAUCAACCAUAUCGCGGAGUCAUUCACAUGAUAACAGGGGGGUCAAGCACUGACUUCGACACCAAGCGGCAGAAGCGGGACCACUACCGCAGCAUCAACCAUGUCGCCGUCACUGGCCCAGUCGUGCAGACAAAGUGGUCCCACAUACCGCUAACCUUCGACGCACGAGACGUCGACCUGCGCAGCGCCCCCCACAUCGACGCCAUGGUCAUCACUUGCAGCGUGGCAGGCUGGGACUUACACAAAGUCCUAGUCGACAACGGCAGUCAGGCGGACAUCAUCUUCCUCCACGCCUUCGACCGCAUGGGUAUAAGCCACAGCCUGCUCAAGCCUUCGGACAACCCGUUGUAUGGCUUCGGCGGCAAGGGCACCUUUCCCGUUGGCAAAAUAGAGUUGCCCCUCUCCUUCGGUGUAGCACCCAGUGCCCGAAGUGAGCAAGUAACCUUCGACAUUGUCGACAUGGUAUAUCCAUACAACGCCAUCAUGGGCCGGGGCUCCAUCAAUAAGUUCGAAGCUGCCAUCCACGGACUGUACCUAUGUAUGAAGAUACCAGGUCCGCUAGGCGCUAUUACGAUCUACGUCAACCAGCAGACAGCGCGCAACAUAGAGCGGGACUUCGUGCCUGGUCAGAGGAACGUGCACUGUCUCACGACCCAGCGCGAGGUCCCUGUGCCCGCCAGCCCAACCGAUAAGCUGCAUGACAAGGCACAGUUGCAGAGCCAAGACGGGACCAAGACUGUCCCCCUCGAUCAGGCCAUGCCCAAGCAGACAGUCACUGUCAGCGAAGACCUUACCUCACAUGAAGAAGAGAAGCUUCUCUGCUGCCUGGCCAAGAAUAAAGAUGUCUUCGCCUGGUCCGCCCUCGACCUGGUCGGAGUCAGCCGAUCCAUAAUUGAGCACAGCUUGGGAAUUGACCCUUCGGUGCGACCAAAAAAGCAAAGGCUUCGCAAAAUGUCCGACGAAAAGACAGAGGCCGCCAAGGCGGAGGUGCACCGCCUCCUAGAAGCUAAAUUCAUCGAGCCAGUGGCUUACCCCACGUGGCUCUCCAAUGUCGUAAUGGUGCAGAAAAAAGCGGGAAAUGGCGAAUGUGCAUAGACUUCACCAGUCUCAAUAAGGCCUGCCCAAAGGACAACUUCCCGUUGCCGCGGAUCGACAAAAUAGUCGAUAGCGCGGCCGGAUGCGAGGUCAUGUCACUCCUCGACUGCUUCUCCGGCUAUCACCAGAUAUACAUGAAGGAGGAAGACAAGGCUAGCACCAGCUUUAUAACACCCUUCGGCACUUAUUGCUUCAUCAGAAUGCCGGAGGGACUCAAGAAUGCCGGGUCCACCUUCUCCAGACUCACCAAAACAGUACUCGAAGGGCAGGUUGGCAGAAACAUAUUUACAUAUGUGGACGACAUCGUCGUCGCCAGCAAGAAUAAGGAGGACCAUCUCGCCGACCUCGCCGAGACAUUCGCGAACAUGCGAGAUGCACGACUCCGCCUAAACCCGGAAAAGUGCGUCUUCGGUGUUCGCCAGGGCAAGAUAUUGGGCUACCUGGUGUCACACCGCGGCAUCGAGGCCAACCCAACCAAGAUCCAGGCCAUCGUCGACAUGUCGCCUCCGCAGUCCGCCAGGGACGUCCAGCGUCUGACAGGCAGAUUGGCCACUCUCAACAGAUUCAUCUCCAGGUCCGCCGAGCGAAGUCUCCCCUUCCUCAAAACACUCCGCGGUGCAAAAGACUUCGCCUGGGGACCGGAGCAAGCAACGGCCUUCGCCUCACUAAAACAGUACCUGUCGGAGCUGGCCAUCCUCACGAGCCCCGACUCCUCGCUCCCCCUGUUGCUCUAUGUCGCGGCUUCGCCGCACGCGGUCAGCGCGGCACUAGUGCAGGAGCAGACAGUUGAGGGCGCGGUCAGACAGUGCCCUGUUUACUAUGUCUCCGAGGUCCUGACACCGUCCAAAUGCAACAUGACAGAGCUGGAGAAGAUCGCCUACGCAGUUGUUAUGUCUUCGCGCAAACUGCGCCAUUACUUUGAAGCAUUCAAGGUCCGAGUCACCUCAGACAGGGGGCUCGGCGAACUAUUCAGAAACCCGGAGGCAUCGGUGAGGAUUGCCAAGUGGGCAGCCGAACUCUCCGGCUACCACAUCACCUUCGAGCCCAGGACAGCCAUCAAGUCACAAGUCCUGGCAGACUUCGUCGUCGACUGGACUGGGCCAAUAACACAGCCGGACCCGUCCACAGAGAAGGUUUGGACCAUCCAUUGCGACGGCGCAUGGUGCCAUGCGGGGGCAGGCGUCGCUGCAGUCGUCACCUCACCAGCCGGAGUCAAACACAGAUAUGCAGCACGCCUCAGCUUCGCUCUGGAAUCCGACAGAUGCACAAACAAUAUAGCAGAGUAUGAAGCGGUUAUCCUGGGCCUCCGCAAGCUAAGGGCCCUCGGAGUCACCACAUGUAUCAUCAAAACAGACUCCAAGAUAGUUGCCGGCCAGGUCGAGAAGGACUAUGCAGCAAAAGACCCCGCGCUCAUGCAAUACCUCGCGGCCAUCCGAAGUCUCGAGAGACAGUUCAAGGGAUUCACCUUGCAGCAUGUGGAUAGGGCCAAGAACGAGGAGGCCGAUGCACUGGCCAAGGCUGCCGCCAGGGGCGAGCCCUUGCCCUCCGACGUGUUCUUUCACACCAUCGGCACGCCAGCCGUCCGGAGCCCCGAAGGGCUCCAAAUAACUAAUGACAGCGAGGGCCACCGCAUAGUCAACCUAAUCAUGACCGAAGACUGGCGGGCACCAAUAACCCUGUUCCUACAGGGGUACUAUCAUCCAACCGACGUCAGUGAAGCCAAGCGCCUCAGACAUCGAAGCCGGGACUUCGCACUGAUUGAGGGCCAACUCUACAAGAAAGGGGUCAGUCAGCCAAUGCUUAAGUGCGUCACCGAAACCGAAGGCAUGCAGAUCCUACGUGAAGUCCACAGUGGCACGUGCGGUUCGCACGCAUGGCCAAGGGCCCUAGCUGCCAAGGUGAUCCGCCAAGGGUUUUACUGGCCCGCAAUGAUCUGCGUCGCAAAUCGGGUCACAAGGUCCUGCGAAGCCUGCCAGAAGUUUUCUCCUCGGUCAGGCAGCCCCUCGCAGUAUACAAAGCUGAUUGCCCAUACAUGGCCUCUCCAGCGCUGGGGCCUGGACAUCGUCGGGCCCCUGCCCACCGCUCAGGGGAACCUCAAGUUCGCCUUCGUAGCCGUCGAAUACUUCACCAAAUGGAUCGAAGCGAGGGCUGUUUCUACAAUAACAUCAAAGACUGCCCAGAAAUUCUUCUGGCAAAACAUUGUUUGCCGCUUCGGAGUACCGUCCGAGCUAACAGUUGACAACGGCAAGCAGUUUGACAGCCAAGAUUUCAAGGAUUUUUGUUUCUCCAUCGGCACCAAGCUUGCCUUCGCUUCAGUCUAUCAUCCGCAACCCAACGGGGUCGUGGAGCGCGCCAAUGGGAAAAUCUUCACAGCUGUCAAGAAGAUGCUCCUCGAUGAAAAAAAGGCAGAUGGACCGAAUUGUUACCGGAGGCAGUCUGGGCGCUAAACACAACUGAGUGCAGGGCGACUGGGUUCACUCCUUUCCACCUUCUAUACGGAUCGGAGGCCAUGACCCCGCAAGAAAUAAAGCAUGGGUCCCCGCGUACAGUUCCGUCAGCCGUCCCCGACGUGGACGAGCCAACUUCAAAAGAUCUCAUUGACGGAGACCGGGUCUUCGCCCUACAGGCCCUAAACAAAUACCAAGCCCAGACCAAAGCAUGGCGCGACCACGCAGUCAUCCCGAGGGAGUUCAGCGAGGGGGACCUCGUGCUCGUCUGAACAGCUCGGACGGAGUCCAGGGGCAAGCUGGAGCCCAAGUGGCAGGGCCCCUUUAUAGUCAAGACAAAAGCUUCCCCCAGCGCUUACAAGCUCACAACGCCAAACGGCGAGGACCUGGAGCACUCCUGGAACAUCGACAACCUUCGCAAAUUUUUUGUUUGACUCAUUAGGGCUGAUUUCGCCCUUGUAAUUCGCCAAAAACAAUCUUGUACCUGCCCGCACUCUUUUCCUCCCGGGGGGUGAGGUUUUUAACGAGGCGGAGCCAUGUAAUAUAUGUGUGAAAAAUCCCUCGUAAAAACAUGCGUCGAAAAAAGACCGCGACGACGGUCUUCGACAUUCGACCAAUUCGAGGUCACCGCGAGGCUAAGCGCUAGCCACCCUCGCGUGCGACAAAUCCGCGUAGAAGUCGCCUAAGGGUGCAGCCGGACUAGCACAACAAGUGCGAAAAAACAUGAAGUCUAUCGCGAAGACUAUCCGCGCAGAAGUCGCCUGAGGGUGCAGCCGGACUAGCACAACAAGUGCGAAAAAACACGAAGUCUAUCUCGAAGACUAUCCGCGCAGAAGUCGCCUAAGGGUGCAGCCGGACUAGCACAACAAGUGCGAAAAAACACGAAGUCUAUCGCGAAGACUAUCCGCGCAGAAGUCGCCUAAGGGUGCAGCCGGACUAGCACAACAAGUGCGACAAACACGAAGUCUAUCGCGAGGACUAUCCGCGCAGAAGUCGCCUAAGGGUGCAGCCGGAAUAGCACAACAAGUGCGAAAAAACCCGAAGUCUACCGCGAAGACUAUCCACGCAGAAGCCGCCUAAAAGGCGCAGCCGAACUAGUACAACAAAAGCAGAAACGACAGCAUCAAACCGUCCGCGUUAAGACCGACUAUAACCACACCAGCACAGCAUAACAAAACAUACCAGACAAAGUACACAAUGCCUCCGCAGGCACAGGCAAGCGAGGGCACACAACUUCAUCGUACAAGCCUUUACACAUAUACACGCGAGGGCGCCACACUCUACAUCGGCUCAACCUUAGGAAUAAUUCCCAUCUCCCUAUAAUUAAAUAACAUUAUCCUAAGCUCCUCACCCGCAAAAAGACUCCGCAGUUCCCCUUCCCCUGUACUCGCGGCGGCCGGCAAAGACAACAGUUCCUGCCGACCAGCCCUACUCACACGAAGCCGAGACCUUUCCUCCGUACUAACUCUACGCUUUGCAACCGCCCUUCGCCGUCGGCGCCCGGUGCUAGGACCUGGCACAUCUUGCGCGUCCGCAGCGUGCGGCGAGGUCUCCGCCGCAGCCACAUCCAAAGCCGCGAAAUAGUCCAAAUCCUCCUCCGACGACUCCUCAGUCCACUCAACCGAGCUCCCAGAAUUAGCAACAUCAAAAAACUCAGAAAAUUCAGAUCCAGAUCCACCACAUUCAUUACCACCUUCCGCGGUCGAAGCCGCCAAAAAUUUAGCAGUAGCGGUUGCGUGCGCAGGCCCAAAAUCUUGAACCUGCGCAGCAACCAAAAUUCAGUAACAUAUCCAAAAUUCCCCAACCCUAUUACACCCACUAUGCCACCUGCGAAGGCCCUGACGCUGCGGGAGCCUCCGCCGCUGGCUCCGCCGCCGCUUCUGCUGUUGUUUCCGCCGCCUCCGCCGCGGGAUCUUCAGCACUCGGCACAGCAGCUGCGGGGGCAUCAGGGGCGCCUUCGGCCACCUUUGGGGGCAGGUCUUCGCCGGCCGCAGCAGAUGUGGGGGCAGCCGUCGCGAUCGCCGCGGUCUCCGGGGUUGGCUCCAGGGCGACCCCGGACACGGCCUCCGCAGGGGUCGGCUCCGGGUCAGGCAGCGCGCUGUUCAGCGCCCCGAGGUCGUCCACCCGCUCGCCACGCAACGCCUAAGACAAAACACGCAAGAUUCAACAAACACACGCACACCCCACAUCCAACAAACGCCAAACAAACGAAAAUAUUACCUGAGCCAUCGCCGUCUCCGCCCGCUCCCUGACCACCUCGCGACCGUGCGGACCCCACAUCCGGUCAUAGAGGGCCCCGGCAGAAUCCUUCACCACGAGGUCUUCAACCUUAUAGACAUCUCGAUCAAAAUCUUCAUCCGCCUGGUCGAAGACCUCGAAGUGCCGGCACCCUUCGCGGGAGAGCGUGUUCAUCGCCCCCUCGCAGGUGACCAGGGAGGCGUACGACAUAAACCCCCCCACGACAGCGGGGAGUUCCUGCAGCUCCUCCUGCACCCACUGCAGACAGCGAAGCCCGGGCUCUCGGUCCGGCACCUCGAAGUCACCGGUCCGCGCACCCAGCUCACGAUAUGUAUCCAUAAGCUGCGUGCGCGUCUGUUCUGCCUCCGCACGCACCGCGGCCUCGGCCCCCUUCGCGCGGCUCUCCAGGGCGGUGAGCCGCUCCUGCAGAUGUUCGGCGAGCUCCUUGGCAAGAUUGCCCUCCGCCCGUGCCAGUUUGGCCUCCGCCUGAGCAGCCUGCUCCUUGGCGAUGGCCUCGUUGGCCUCCCUCCUCUCCGCCGCCAGUUGGCGCUGAAGGUCAGCCUUCUCCUUCUCCAGCACGACCACCUUGUCCGUCAGUUUUCGGCACUUGCUGUCGGAGGCUGAUUUCUCACGGACAGCGUCAGCAUGUUGCGUCCGAAGUCUCUCGACUUCGGCAGACACAGCUGCCGUGAGGGCCCCCGACGCAGUACGGCUGGCGAAGUCAGCCACCUGCAGAGCACAUGUAAGGCCGUUGCCCGUAAAAAAGGGGGGGAGAGUAUAGCUCAGCGGACCUGACUCACCGCCUCCGUCACCUGACUCAGCGCCUCUGUCACCCCCUUCAGCCGGCGGGUCGCUGCGCCCGCCUCGUCCAUGACAACCGCGAGGGCCGACACCUCGCCUCCGGAGCCAAGAGCCUCGCCCCUCGCCUUCGGCACUAUGCCAGCCGUCGCGAUCGCCGCGGCAGGCGCAACCAUAGCAAGUUGGCCCUCGUCCGACCCUGCAACGCACCAACGAAUUAAAAAAAACACAAGCCAGCGACUUACCACCAAGAUAGUCCUCCACACAAAUGUCGGUGGCGAAGUCGGCGACACGCUUGCCUGCCGACGACAACGCUCGGGCCGCCUUCGCGGCCUCCGCCACCCUGCUGAGCGGCGGCACAGCCUUCGACGGUUUGGAGCCUCCGGCACCCGCCGCUGCCUCUGGCGCCUUGCUAGAUGCAGGGACGCCUGACUUCGCCGCCAGCGGCGGCUUGCCUCCGCUGGGGGCCGCAUCCUUCGCCGACCCACGCUUUUGCCUCUUUGGCCUGGCUUCAACAAUCCUGAUAGCCGCCUGCCGCUUUUGUGCAGCCCCCUGGCGAUCCUUGUCCAUCACUGCCGACACAACAACAGCAAUAUUCCGCCCGUAAGGAAAAACUCUCCAUUUGCGAACCAUGCGAGAUGUAAAAACGUCCCCGCUGGCCGCGCGGGGGAUAGGAACAUUCCUAGGCCAGCAACCCCCGGUAACCUUCAGCAUCCGAGCCGAAGACUCCCGGAGCUCGGGCAAAGACAUCCUUUCCCCCGGGGCCGCGCAUGUCCUCAUCAACUCUCUAGCAAACCCAUCGGAAACCCCAAGUCCUUCCAUGGCAGUACCUAGUUUCCUCUUCUUAGAGGAUGGGGCGGCCGCCGGCGCAGGGUCGUCUUUAGUCUACACCACCGGUUUCUUCCCCCGGCGGUCCGCGUCGUCUUGACCAGGAUAGCCGUCAUAUGGCAGUUGGUUCAAUUCGAAGACCCUAUUCAAACGGUCAUUCGACCCGCGGAUCUCCCAGCUGCGCUGGCCCUCGGUCCUCGGCACAUAACGCCCAACAAGCCGCACCGCCUCAUCCUCAGCUUCACGCACAAAGGCGGCCGGAUCACGGUUUCGCAGAUUUAGCGCGAAGGCGGGACUCCGCACCAUCUCUCCACCACGGAAAGGCAUCUGGCGAGGGCAUACUUCGCCCAACGCCCAACCAUGCGCCAAGGGCCAUACCCCGUACGCCACAAACUCUUCAACCAAGUCGUGCCCACUGCUUUGGCCGGCGACUUCAAAGGGCGGGUACGCCGAGUAAAAAUAAGAGCACAUCUCGGACACGGGAAGUCCCUCGUGGCCUUCGACGGUACCCUCAGCAACGUAAAACCAAAAUUCAUUCCAGUUGCCCCACUUGUUGCGGGCGCAAGGGACCAACUCGACUACUGGCAUCGUGGUCUUGCCGGUCUUCGGCGUGAAUGUGCAGGACCCAAACUGAGCAACUUCGUCCCCGAUCAUCCUCUUCUGCCAGUGUAAACAAUAAUGCUUCGCAAAAACUUCGACCGAUGGCUGUCCGCCGUACGAAGUCGUCGCCCAGACAUACUUCGACAGGGCCACCACGGCAUUCGGCGUCAGCUGAUGUAUUUGCACGUUGAACCUGCGCAGGACUUCGCCAACAAACCGAUGCGCAGGCAAGCGGAGACCGGCGGCGAAAAACGCCUCGAAAACAACCAACUCGCCCUCCGGCUCGGGGACUUUCUCCGUCCCCGGGGCACGGGCAACUCCGCCGCCGAAGUAGCCCAACCGCUGCAUAUCCUCCACGCGGGCCGACGACAUUCGCGACACGUCGAAAUCAACAGAAUCGUCGGCGCGCAACUCCUCCGGCAUCAAACUGCUCAGCGUCUCCUCCGAUGAGGCGGCGGCCGGCGGCGAGGAACCGGCCGGCGGCGUAGCGGCAACGGAAGAAGAGGAAGACGGCAUCGCUACGUACCGUCGGCGGCGGGCAGUCUGCUUCACUCGCGCCAGAUCUUCGGCGAACAAGAGCACGGCGGGCAGACGAGCAGCAAGACGGCGGGCGGCUAGGGUUUUCGCGGAGCGCGGAAAGUAAAGUUCAAAAAGCGCCGGCCCCCGCCCCCUUUUAUAGGCAGGGCGCUGCUCUUCGGGAAACCCGCAAUCCAAUAGAGCGCGGCGCUUCGGGGAACCCGCAAUCCAACAGUACGCGGUCAAUCAACGGUCACAUCAAAAACCCCCGCGGAACCACUUCGAGCAAGGGCAGCGUCUCCGCCAUCUAGCGACGUCUUCGGCACCAGGUGACUUUGUCGAACUGGUCCCUCGGAGGGCAGAUGUUGGAGCGAAGGCAGAAACGCCACCCUUCGCUCGAAGUCUCCGCUGCUUAGCCGCUGCUCUGACAGACAAAGCAGGCAGGGACACCCUUCACUUGAUCGGCACCAGACGAAGACCGGCGACGAAGGCAUCCCACAGUGCGGCCUCGUCCAGCUCAGAGGCCCACGUGCGUCCCGACCCAUUGUAACGGGCCCUGCGUGGCCGCCGCGUGUUACGGGCCUAAUUUGUAAAGGCAUCCCUGUAAUUACAGUCUGUAACCCUGCUUUAUGGGAAUAUUCUGGGGAUAACCUAGGUAGCUGAGGGCACAUGCGUCCUUAACACAAGGCGCUGGGCGUUCAGGUACCUAUAAA